UGGGGAAUUUUGGACAAUGGGGGAAACCCUGAUCCAGCAAUGCCGCGUGCAGGAUGAAGGCCUUCGGGUUGUAAACUGCUUUUGUACGGAACGAAAAGUCUUGGGUUAAUACCCUGGGAUCAUGACGGUACCGUAAGAAUAAGCACCGGCUAACUACGUGCCAGCAGCCGCGGUAAUACGUAGGGUGCAAGCGUUAAUCGGAAUUACUGGGCGUAAAGCGUGCGCAGGCGGUUUUGUAAGACAGUGGUGAAAUCCCCGGGCUCAACCUGGGAACUGCCAUUGUGACUGCAAGGCUGGAGUGCGGCAGAGGGGGAUGGAAUUCCGGCGUGCAGCAGUGAAAUGCGUAGAUAUGCGGAGGAACACCGAUGGCGAAGGCAAUCCCCUGGGCCUGCACUGACGC
RNAcentral lists this ribosomal RNA (400 nucleotides) under uncultured bacterium. RNAcentral describes it as "bacterial SSU rRNA". It matches the Rfam family "Bacterial small subunit ribosomal RNA", at positions 355 to 746 of the family's 1533-position model. The record is from RNAcentral.